UUAUGACAUUGUUUUAUAUGAAUCAUUAUGGCUUAAUUUACUUUAUUUAAUUAUUAAUAAAUGACAGUAUGAAUAGUUCAAAUAGUCAUUUACUAUAUGUGGUGUUAAAAAUGGUAAAAAAUUAAAUUAAUAACCUGUGACUGCCACAAUUAUUGAUUUGUUGGUAAUUACCUGAUAUGCAGGUACAUUUUUAAUUAUUGUUAUAAUAUUUGUAAAAACAAAUAACUGUAAUUUAUCAUAAAUGGUUAAAAAUUGCCGUAUGGUGAAGCCAUAUGUUGGCCUUUAAUAUAACGUUUCAACUCAUGUCUGCAAUUCCUACAAACAGGUUAACAAGUGACCAUUAAACAUACAUUUACAUUGUAUGGGUCCAUAUUAUAUAAACAGUUCAUAAGAUAUUAAAGAAUAAACAAGGAAAUAAUGUUAUUUAACCUUUACUUAGUUGAAGAAAUAUUAAAUUGUGAUUAUUUCACCAAGUGUUUUAGACAACCUGUAGAAAAUAUGGCAGUAUUAUCAACUUAAUGCACUUUAAAUACCAGUUUUAAAGCGCUUCAGGAAAGGUAAUGGAUACUAUUAUGGACGUUGACUCUGCAACCUACAAGAACCAGCAGGACGGAGGAGCUUUUUGAUUGGCCGUGUUUCAGUUUGAAGAGCUGCAGCAGCGAAGGCCACGGCUUCGUCUGCUGGACCUUGUUUGACCCGAGGAAAAAACUGACAAAGUCUCCGCUGAGCCUCAAAUCCACCGCUGAGCGACACCCUGCAUGAGACUAUAACGCAGAAUGACAGACCGCAGGGCACAGCGUUUGCCAAAAGCAUCAAAGGUCUGAUGUGGUCAGUUUCUCUUGAUUUCAUUCCCGGGGAUACCAUCUGUCCACCAGCGUCCGAUGGCAGGACCCGCUUCAAAGAUGUUCUUUAAAUGAGCAGUGAAAUGAAACUCAAUAGUGGACAGCGGAGCCAGAAGAGAAAGAGAACCUGGAUAAGGGCUACAGCAUGCUACAGCUCUGCUUCCCCUCAACUGGAAUUGAAAUUGUUGGCUGCAGCGUCUUACCGAACAACACUCGUUCUUCAGACCAGCGGCUCUUUGUGUGCAGAGAGCGUCCUCCUCGCCUCUGUUUUAAUGCAAACUUGUUAGACCAAACUCGACGUACGAUGACCAUUUUCUCACACUUGCUGCAUGAAUUAUGUUUCGACACUGGUGUUUUUUUUUCUUCUUUAAGUCAAGAAAACAAGAAGAACACAUUUUAAUAUUAAUGAAAAGUGCCACGGUCGAUGUUUUAAAAAAGAGCUUUGUGAGCCUAUUUUAUUGCAAAAGCAGAAGAAAAAGAUUUUAAAAAAGAAGCGUAUUUAUUUUGUAAUUUUUGUACAUUGUGUUUUGGAAGUUAUUGUCAAUGUUGCUGUUUAGGUGCCACUUGUGAGACACCCUCCUGACAAAUAGGAGGAUCACAAGUCGCCUGUGUUGCACAAAAUGUGAUAAAUAGAAGCACGGUAGCCAAAAAAAAAGCAUGCAGAAGGCUGUACCAGCACCGCAGACUUUAAUAUUUAUAACUUACUAAUGGGAGGAAAAAUACACCAAUUUACUUGUUUACUCUAACCUCAGAUCAUUUAGCUUUUUCUCUCACUGUAAUGUCCACAUAUUCGUUAUGAUCUCUAUAUGCAUGUUACCCCAUGCUUGUGCACACAGCAAAUUAUUUUACAAAACUAACACAAAGAAUAACAGGGCAGUGGGUUCCUUCACAUUUCAGUCAUAAUGAGUUCAAAUAAAACUUUGUACUUCAA
Long non-coding RNA from Sebastes umbrosus (honeycomb rockfish), 1773 nucleotides. RefSeq lists it as uncharacterized. Lineage: Eukaryota; Metazoa; Chordata; Actinopteri; Perciformes; Sebastidae. The transcript is spliced from 2 exons. The record is from RefSeq and is a predicted model, not a curated record.